ACAUGCAGUCGAGGGGCAUCACAUGAAGUAGCAAUACGGAUGGUGGCGACCGGCGCACGGGUGAGUAACACGUAUGCAACCUGCCUUCAACAAGGGCUAACCCGUUGAAAGACGGACUAAUACCCUAUAACACAGGGGUCCCGCAUGGGAAUAUUUGUUAAAGGACAACCGGUUGAAGAUGGGCAUGCGUUCCAUUAGCUAGUUGGCGGGGUAACGGCCCACCAAGGCAACGAUGGAUAGGGGAACUGAGAGGUUUAUCCCCCACACUGGGUACUGAGACACGGGACCAGACUCCUACGGGGAGGCAGCAGGUGAGGAAUUAUUGGGUCAAUUGGACGCAAGUCUGACCAGG
Molecule: ribosomal RNA, 352 nt
Filed under: uncultured Bacteroides sp.
Lineage: Bacteria; Pseudomonadati; Bacteroidota; Bacteroidia; Bacteroidales; Bacteroidaceae
Description: bacterial SSU rRNA
Rfam family: Bacterial small subunit ribosomal RNA
Source: RNAcentral